GCACAAGGGAGCUUGACUGUGAGACUGACAAGUCGAGCAGGGACGAAAGUCGGGACUAGUGAUCCGGCACCGGCAUGUGGAAGCGGUGUCGCUCAACGGAUAAAAGGUACCCCGGGGAUAACAGGCUGAUCUUCCCCAAGAGUCCAUAUCGACGGGAUGGUUUGGCACCUCGAUGUCGGCUCGUCGCAUCCUGGGGCUGGAGUAGGUCCCAAGGGUUGGGCUGUUCGCCCAUUAAAGCGGCACGCGAGCUGGGUUUAGAACGUCGUGAGACAGUUCGGUCUCUAUCCGCCGCGCGCGUUAGAAACUUGAGGAAGGCUGUCCCUAGUACGAGAGGACCGGGACGGACGAACCUCUGGUGUGCCAGUUGUUCCACCAGGAGCACCGCUGGUUAGCUACGUUCGGAAGGGAUAACCGCUGAAAGCAUCUAAGCGGGAAGCCUGUUCCAAGAUGAGGUUUCUCACCCCCUCGAGGGGGUAAGGCCCCCGGCAGACCACCGGGUUGAUAGGCCAGAACUGGAAGUCGGGUAACCGAUGCAGGUGACUGGUACUAAUAGGCCGAGGACUUACCAUAA
This 571-nucleotide ribosomal RNA is filed under the name Rhodococcus sp. EPR-157. RNAcentral's name for it is "bacterial LSU rRNA". It matches the Rfam family "Bacterial large subunit ribosomal RNA", at positions 2357 to 2925 of the family's 2925-position model. Lineage: Bacteria; Bacillati; Actinomycetota; Actinomycetes; Mycobacteriales; Nocardiaceae. The record is from RNAcentral.